RNAcentral lists this ribosomal RNA (497 nucleotides) under uncultured bacterium. RNAcentral's name for it is "partial 16S ribosomal RNA". It matches the Rfam family "Bacterial small subunit ribosomal RNA", at positions 28 to 507 of the family's 1533-position model. The record is from RNAcentral.
GACGAACGCUGGCGGCGUGCCUAAUACAUGCAAGUAGAACGCUGAAGAGAGGAGCUUGCUCUUCUUGGAUGAGUUGCGAACGGGUGAGUAACGCGUAGGUAACCUGCCUUGUAGCGGGGGAUAACUAUUGGAAACGAUAGCUAAUACCGCAUAACAAUGGAUGACACAUGUCAUUUAUUUGAAAGGGGCAAUUGCUCCACUACAAGAUGGACCUGCGUUGUAUUAGCUAGUAGGUGAGGUAAUGGCUCACCUAGGCGACGAUACAUAGCCGACCUGAGAGGGUGAUCGGCCACACUGGGACUGAGACACGGCCCAGACUCCUACGGGAGGCAGCAGUAGGGAAUCUUCGGCAAUGGGGGCAACCCUGACCGAGCAACGCCACGUGAGUGAAGAAGGUUUUCGGAUCGUAAAGCUCUGUUGUAAGUCAAGAACGGGUGUGAGAGUGGAAAGUUCACACUGUGACGGUAGCUUACCAGAAAGGGACGGCUAACUACGUG